This 435-nucleotide ribosomal RNA is filed under the name uncultured bacterium. RNAcentral describes it as "partial 16S ribosomal RNA". It matches the Rfam family "Bacterial small subunit ribosomal RNA", at positions 29 to 507 of the family's 1533-position model. The record is from RNAcentral.
AACGAACGCUGGCGGCAUGCCUAACACAUGCAAGUCGAACGAUUGCCUUCGGGUGAUAGUGGCGCACGGGUGCGUAACGCGUGGGAAUCCGCCCUUAGGUUCGGAAUAACAGCUGGAAACGGCUGCUAAUACCGGAUGAUAUCGCGAGAUCAAAGAUUUAUCGCCUGAGGAUGAGCCCGCGUUGGAUUAGGUAGUUGGUAGGGUAAAGGCCUACCAAGCCGACGAUCCAUAGCUGGUCUGAGAGGAUGAUCAGCCACACUGGGACUGAGACACGGCCCAGACUCCUACGGGAGGCAGCAGUGGGGAAUAUUGGACAAUGGGCGCAAGCCUGAUCCAGCAAUGCCGCGUGAGUGAUGAAGGCCCUAGGGUUGUAAAGCUCUUUUACCCGGGAAGAUAAUGACUGUACCGGGAGAAUAAGCCCCGGCUAACUCCGUG